Molecule: ribosomal RNA, 490 nt
Filed under: uncultured bacterium
Lineage: Bacteria
Description: partial 16S ribosomal RNA
Rfam family: Bacterial small subunit ribosomal RNA
Source: RNAcentral
GAUGAACGCUCGCUACAGGCUUAACACAUGCAAGUCGAGGGGAAACGAUGAGAGAGCUUGCUCUCUUAGGCGUCGACCGGCGCACGGGUGAGUAACGCGUAUCCAACCUACCCAUUACAGGGGGAUAACCUUGCGAAAGUAAGACUAAUACCCCAUGGCAUUUUAUGGUUGCAUCAUUAUAGGAUUAAAGAUUUAUUGGUAAUGGAUGGGGAUGCGUCUGAUUAGCUUGUUGGCGGGGUAACGGCCCACCAAGGCAACGAUCAGUAGGGGUUCUGAGAGGAAGGUCCCCCACAUUGGAACUGAGACACGGUCCAGACUCCUACGGGAGGCAGCAGUGAGGAAUAUUGGUCAAUGGGCGAGAGCUUGAACCAGCCAAGUAGCGUGCAGGAUGACGGCCCUAUGGGUUGUAAACUGCUUUUAUAGGGGAAUAAAGUGAGCUACGUGUAGUUUAUUGCAUGUACCCUAUGAAUAAGGACCGGCUAAUUCCGUG